UACAGAGGUGGCAAGCGUUGUUCGGAAUUACUGGGCGUAAAGGGCGCGUAGGCGGCUUGGUCAGUCCCGUGUGAAAUCCCUCGGCUUAACCGGGGAACUGCAUCUGAUACUGGAUGGCUUGAGAUUGGGAGAGGGAUGCGGAAUUCCAGGUGUAGCGGUGAAAUGCGUAGAUAUCUGGAGGAACACCGGUGGCGAAGGCGGCAUCCUGGACCAACACUGACGCUGAGGAGCGAAAGCCAGGGGAGCAAACGGG
Molecule: ribosomal RNA, 253 nt
Filed under: uncultured bacterium
Lineage: Bacteria
Description: partial 16S ribosomal RNA
Rfam family: Bacterial small subunit ribosomal RNA
Source: RNAcentral